AUGACAUUUGAUCAUAUAACAAGAGUUCUAGAGGAUUUAAAGUGUACUACUACCAGUGAAGAUCCGAAAGAAUUUACUUUUGAUUUACGCAAAAUGGUUGAAGCAUGUAGAAAUGAGGAGAUCGAGUCGCUUGUGAAAAAGAAAUAUGGGCAAGAAGCUUUUACAAUCUUUAGGCUAUUGGUCACACAAGGUUGUGCAGUUGAAACAGAUCAAAUUAUUGACACGACAAUUCUUGACAAGCAGAUUGUUCAUUCAACUUUGUACAAACUAUGGAAUGAUGGGUAUAUAGAUACAGAGAAAAUCGCUUCGGCAGCAGGAACAGGGUAUGCACAGUUUUUUGUAUGGAGAGCCAAAAAUACAUUUCGUGAACAGUUCAUCGAUAAUCUCUACCAUGUUGCUUUGAACUUGCGCCACAUGGUGAAUUACAUUGCUGAACUUCUACUCGAGGGUUCGAAGGACGAAAUGAAGCUGCGGAACAGAAAGAACAUUUUGAUCCUAGCUCUCAUUAGACAUGAUGACUCCCUCAUGCUGUUCCAUGAUUUUUGA
RNAcentral lists this ribosomal RNA (546 nucleotides) under Triticum aestivum (bread wheat). RNAcentral describes it as "partial small subunit ribosomal RNA". Lineage: Eukaryota; Viridiplantae; Streptophyta; Magnoliopsida; Poales; Poaceae. The record is from RNAcentral.